GCAGUCGAGCGGACAGAUGGGAGCUUGCUCCCUGAUGUUAGCGGCGGACGGGUGAGUAACACGUGGGUAACCUGCCUGUAAGACUGGGAUAACUCCGGGAAACCGGGGCUAAUACCGGAUGGUUGUUUGAACCGCAUGGUUCAGACAUAAAAGGUGGCUUCGGCUACCACUUACAGAUGGACCCGCGGCGCAUUAGCUAGUUGGUGAGGUAACGGCUCACCAAGGCGACGAUGCGUAGCCGACCUGAGAGGGUGAUCGGCCACACUGGGACUGAGACACGGCCCAGACUCCUACGGGAGGCAGCAGUAGGGAAUCUUCCGCAAUGGACGAAAGUCUGACGGAGCAACGCCGCGUGAGUGAUGAAGGUUUUCGGAUCGUAAAGCUCUGUUGUUAGGGAAGAACAAGUGCCGUUCAAAUAGGGCGGCACCUUGACGGUACCUAACCAGAAAGCCACGGCUAACUACAUGCCAGCAGCCGCGGUAAUACGUAUGUGGCAAGCGUUGUC
This 505-nucleotide ribosomal RNA is filed under the name Bacillus velezensis. RNAcentral describes it as "bacterial SSU rRNA". It matches the Rfam family "Bacterial small subunit ribosomal RNA", at positions 57 to 545 of the family's 1533-position model. Lineage: Bacteria; Bacillati; Bacillota; Bacilli; Caryophanales; Bacillaceae. The record is from RNAcentral.